UCCUAUGACAUCCCUGGGAAAAGUUGACAAUCUUGCAGUACCUAAAAAAGUUAAGGUGGGUGCUGGACUUUUUCAUGAAACCCAAUAUAUCCAUGAAGAAGUCCAAAAUGUCCAUAUUGUACCAUUUAACCCAACUUCUCUCUAAACCCAAAUGCCAACAUCUCAGUACGGAGUUUUUUCCACUCUCACUGCACCUUCCUCCAUAUUAUUUGUUGUGGUUCCCUGCUGCUCUGUUUGUUCUCUCUCUCUGCAGGAGGCAUGGUUGACCUACCUUCCAGAACAUGCUGGUGAACGUUUCCACCUGCGCAGCUCCACCCCACCUGCUCCUGAUCAUCAAUCAGGAGUGCUCUUUAGCCGGAGCCGCCCGCUCACCAGCGUCAGUUUGUUGUUUCGCACCAGCUGAUUUGUAUCCCAAGAUGCCAGAGGAGCAAUGCCACAUUAUACUCCAUGCUCCUUCCCAUGGGUCAGUGCAGUCUUGGAUGAGCCACAUUUCACUGUUCUCCACCAGACGCGAGCCAUGCCCAGAGGCAGUCAAGGAGACUUCUAGCCUGCUCUUCAGUUGGAAAACUCUGCAGACAAUUGUCCAAAGAAAGACUGCAGAACUGAUGUUUUGUUGUCUUCCUCUCCCCCAUCCUUCACAUGGCACUGAAGAGCAUAUGUGGCACAAAAAGGACUACAUCUGGUCCCAAAUGGCAGGACCUGCCACUCCUAAGCCUCCACUGGUUCCUCACAUCGCAUAUCCCUUCAUAUUAAAGGGAGAAAUGGUCCGUCCUCAGCCAGCAAUCUGAUCUGAUGAAAUAUGCCUUUAAUAUCACUAGAGAUGGCAACAGAAUGCUGACAGAAGUGCAGCAGAACACCCAUCAAGGAAGGGCUCAGAACUGGGGUUGCACUUUGGGCAGUGUUUCUUUAAAUCACAUUCAGGGCUCUGUGUUCACAAGCACAUUUCCAGCAACGUCCUUUCUCUUGGAUCCACCUCUUGACAGCAUCCCUCGUCAGCUGACAAAAAUCAGGACAGACAGGGCAAGUCUCAGUUGAAUGCUGCUGAGCUUUGCUUCGAGGAUGACGACUGGUUCCAUGAAGUAUAUUAGCCACUGGAUUGUUAGGCUUUGAGUAGCUGAACAGGGAAAAGGAUUCACACAGGUGAGCUGGCUGCCUAAAUAGACUCCAGGGCUCCGCCCUCCAUUGAUGGGAGGGGGAGGGAGGUGGGGAUUUUCAACAUUAUGCAUGAUUUCAAAUAAAAAUUCUCCAAUGGCUUUUGAGUUCAAACCACUGACCCAUGAUUUAUUAGAAAGUAAGUACUUGCUAGUUGACGUCCAAAUUACACAAAAAUAACUCCUUGAGUUGAAAUAAUUUGCUGACAGCUUGGUCCCCCCAGUUCAAAAAUCCCACCUGCGUCCCUGUUUAUUGGUAAUUAUUGCAUGCAAAUGUCCCUUAAGCACUUUCACAUAAAGUCUUAGGUGGAAGGAGGAUGACACUUUAGCAGAAGAAGCAUGACUACAAAGUUAUAAGGGACUAAUAGUGAGUUGGUGGGUCCAUACAAAGAUGUUGGUCAGACCCGACAUUGCAGUAUACACCCAACAUGUCUUUAUUACACCCUAAUUCCCACAGGUUUUUUCCACAAAAGAGGCUAAUAUGGAGAUAUUGGGUUGAGACUGCAGAUUCAACAUAGCAGGAUAGACACUAGUUGCUGGUAAUGUUGCUGCUCAAAUAAUUUUUCCCUUUAAUUAAAUUGUCUCUACUAGAUAUGAUCAACCUUUCUCUAUGAAGAGGAUAUAUACCACAGUUCUAUAAACGAGCCAUAAUUAAACUACUUCUUAAAAAGCCUGCUGUUCAUCCAGAGGUUUUAGCGAACUAUAAACCUAUAUCUAACCUUCUUUUUCGCUCUAAGAUCCUUGAGGAAACAGCAGCCAAUCAGUUAUGUGACUUCCUAUACAAGGAUUUUCAGUCAGAUUUUGGAGCACAUCAUAGCACAGAGACAGCACUGGUGAAAGUCACAGAUGAUCUCUUGGUUGCCUCAGACAAAGGACUUGCCUCUGUUCUGGUCUUGUUAGUUCUUAGUGCUGCAUUUGAUACCACUGACCAUCACGUCUUCUUAUAAACAUCUUGAGACAGGAACACUUAAUUGGCAUUAAACUGCUUUCAGUCUAAUGUCAUGGCCAAUAAAGCUGGUUGAAUUUAGUUGUCUUGUAGUUCCUGUUCUAGUUUGAAAUUUUUCUCCUCUCAUUUCAGGUAAAUUGCCCCUUCCCCUUGUGAUUCCCCACCAGUCUGAUUGUUUCCACCUGUUCCCCCUUACCUUGUGUAUUUAUGGUCUGUGUCUCCCUUUGUCUGUGCCGUUCGUCUUCCAAUGCCACUAGGAACCAGCUCCACGCCUUUGCAUUGAUUACACAGUAAUAGUUUCAUGCCCCUACCUUGUCAGGUUUUUUUUAUCCAUUUUUGUUACUUUGUCAAGUCUGUUUUAGUUAGUUGCUUUUUCCCUCGUAAGAGUGUUUUUUGUUUACUUGCAGAAGUUGUCUUUUGUCCUCCGUGUGAGUGAUUUUUUGUUGAACAUUGAUAAUAAAAGACUUGUUUGAUUUUC
Solea senegalensis (Senegalese sole) is the source of this 2575-nucleotide long non-coding RNA. RefSeq lists it as uncharacterized. The record is from RefSeq and is a predicted model, not a curated record. The transcript is spliced from 2 exons. NCBI's taxonomy places the organism in Eukaryota, Metazoa, Chordata, Actinopteri, Pleuronectiformes, Soleidae.